UUCAGACCCUUGAUUGGAAUGGCUUGUCUUACUCUUUGGCUUUUCAAAGUGUAUCUGCCUCAAUUCAGUGUCGCUGUGUUCUAACACUAAUUUUCCCUGUAUUUAUUUGUUGUUGUUGUUGUUGUUUGAUAUGGCCU
Long non-coding RNA from Sinocyclocheilus grahami, 137 nucleotides. RefSeq lists it as uncharacterized. The record is from RefSeq and is a predicted model, not a curated record. Lineage: Eukaryota; Metazoa; Chordata; Actinopteri; Cypriniformes; Cyprinidae. The transcript has 3 exons.